This 468-nucleotide ribosomal RNA is filed under the name uncultured bacterium. Its description in RNAcentral is "partial 16S ribosomal RNA". It matches the Rfam family "Bacterial small subunit ribosomal RNA", at positions 28 to 507 of the family's 1533-position model. The record is from RNAcentral.
GACGAACGCUGGCGGCGUGCUUAACACAUGCAAGUCGAACGGAAAGGCCCUGCUUUUGUGGGGUGCUCGAGUGGCGAACGGGUGAGUAACACGUGAGUAACCUGCCCUUGACUUUGGGAUAACUUCAGGAAACUGGGGCUAAUACCGGAUAGGAGCUCCUGCUGCAUGGUGGGGGUUGGAAAGUUUCGGCGGUUGGGGAUGGACUCGCGGCUUAUCAGCUUGUUGGUGGGGUAGUGGCUUACCAAGGCUUUGACGGGUAGCCGGCCUGGGAGGGUGACCGGCCACAUUGGGACUGAGAUACGGACCAGACUCCAACGGGAGGCAGCAGUGGGGAAUAUUGCACAAUGGGCGGAAGCCUGAUGCAGCAACGCCGCGUGCGGGAUGACGGCCUUCGGGUUGUAAACCGCUUUCGCCUGUGACGAAGCGUGAGUGACGGUAAUGGGUAAAGAAGCACCGGCUAACUACGUG